This 946-nucleotide long non-coding RNA is filed under the name Linum usitatissimum (flax). Its description in RNAcentral is "long non-coding RNA (LUSI_LNC006657)". The record is from RNAcentral. Lineage: Eukaryota; Viridiplantae; Streptophyta; Magnoliopsida; Malpighiales; Linaceae.
ACUCAGAGCUAAGCAAUCCAUUAAUGCCAUAGCUGAGGAUGGGAGUGGUUGGGUAUCACUUUCUCCAAAGCGUGCAGAUCCGUUUGCCACAAGUUCUGAUAUGUCUCCACCACGUCAGAAUAGUACCCGGAAUGACACACCUUCUCCUGAACUUGAUAGAAGUAGAGAAAACAAUAGGCAUUUUAGUUCUGAUAUAUCACCCCCUCGUAAGAAGAGAUCAGAAGAUGAUUCGCCUAGGGUACAGCCAGGAUUUUAUCACUCUGUGGAAGAUAAAGACUUCUCUCCUCCACGGAAGCGACAUCAACAUCAUGAUAUUCAUCCGAUUGAUAAUCUCAGAAGAACCAUUCCUAGCUCUUGUACUAUAAGCUCUGCCUUGUCUCCUCCUCGUAAGCAAAGAGCUCGAUAUGACACGCCUUCCCCAGAUCCUGUUUUGAGGGAUUCUAGGCAAGGUAACAACUUCCUUGUUUUAUCUGUUGACUUAGGCAAUAUGGUCAAUAUGGUACUUCACAAACAGAUAAUGAAAAACUUGUGUUAUUUUAGUGUUCAAAAAAUAUUUUAUUUCCAAUUUUAUAUAUUGGUGUUUAUUGUGUUGUUUUAUAGAUGAAGAGCCUCAAGUUGAUGAAGAUAUAGAAGUCAAGCGACUAAAGAGGCUUGAACAACUCAGAGCUAAGCAAUCCAUUAAUGCCAUAGCUGAGGAUGGGAGUGGUUGGGUAUCACUUUCUCCAAAGCGUGCAGAUCCGUUUGCCACAAGUUCUGAUAUGUCUCCACCACGUCAGAAUAGUACCCGGAAUGACACACCUUCUCCUGAACUUGAUAGAAGUAGAGAAAACAAUAGGCAUUUUAGUUCUGAUAUAUCACCCCCUCGUAAGAAGAGAUCAGAAGAUGAUUCGCCUAGGGUACAGCCAGGAUUUUAUCACUCUGUGGAAGAUAAAGACUUCUCUCCUCC